This 5536-nucleotide long non-coding RNA is filed under the name Prunus persica (peach). RNAcentral describes it as "long non-coding RNA (PPER_LNC002737)". Lineage: Eukaryota; Viridiplantae; Streptophyta; Magnoliopsida; Rosales; Rosaceae. The record is from RNAcentral.
UUGCUCUGCCGUUCUCUCAAUGCACCUGUGUUUCAACUGUUACCUGGUCUUUGUUCAAAUGAAUCACUUGCUGCCCAUUGAUAGGCAGUUGGUUCAAUGGGAAAAAGCAAUGCUUUUUCUUCCUUCAGAUUCCUAUUUUGACAGCAGCAAAAUGAAAACAAAAUUGUCUUCAAUUUCUGCCAUCAUUUACUGCCACAUGACUUUCUCCACCAUUUACUACAUGGGUUCCAUGAAAAUUGCAUGAUUCUUUAACCAGAGUCUGAACGGCUCUCACAUUUCCCACAUUUCCCCCAACGAUUUAAGACUUCGUCGCCCGACUUCUAACUGGACUCUCAUCUCAAAUUCACAUCUCAAAUUCAGGGGUUCACACGGACUUAUUGAUUGCAGAAUUCUGAACAAAGCGGUUUUGUCAGAAUUCUGUUUUAGGAUAAUGGGCUUUAUUGAUUGCAAUAAGUGGGAAAGCGGUUUUCUCAAAAUUCUGUUUUAGGACAAAGAGUCAAGUCAACCAUGUUUCGUCAAUCUUGAGAUAUCAUACAAGCAUAUAUAUAUGUACUUAAUCAGUUUUGCAUGUAUGCUUACUUUUGUGCUUUACAUUUUUCCUAAAGAGUUUCCCUUGUUCGUCUUGAUCAUUACCGUAGCUAACAUGGUUGAAGCAAGGUGCUGCUUCAAACUCCUCCAUGCAAUUAUUGUGGUGCUUUUACUACACAUGAGCAGUCCUUGCGUUGGAUGUAGCGAGAGGGACAGGCAAGCACUCCUUGCACUCAAACAAGGCCUCGUGGGUGACGACGGCGAUCGCCUCCUUUCAUGGGGAAGAGAUGCCCAAAACAAAGAUUGUUGCCAAUGGGACGGAGUCUACUGCAACAACCAAACUGGUCAUGUUGUUAAGCUUGAUCUUGGAGACCAAUCUUUGCAAGGUAAGAUUAGUCCUAAACUCGUUCACUUGCAGCAUUUGGAGUAUUUGAACCUUAGUUUCAAUAAUUUCAAUUGGAGCAAAAUUCCAGAUUUCAUUGGAUCUAUGAGCAAUUUAAGACACCUCGACCUCUCUUCUGCUAAUUUUGGAGGUGAAAUUCCAUAUCAACUUGAAAACCUCACACACUUACAGUAUCUCGAUCUCAGCUUUAAUGGAUAUUCUGUUAUCCAUGCAAAAAACCUCAAUUGGCUCCCUAAUCGUUCAGGUCUGAAACACUUGGACCUAACUUACACUAAUCUCAGUGAUGUUGUUGGUUGGCUGGAAGCAGUUAAUACGCUUCCUAAAUUAAGAAACUUGAUAUUACAUGGGUGUAAUCUUCCUCCUCCAAUUAUAUCCUCUGUUUCUGUUUUGAACUCUUCUAAAUCUCUUAUUCGUGUCGAUCUCUCCUUCAACAAUCUUGACUCUUCAAUCUUCCAAUGGUUGUCCGGUACUCAUACCAACCUUGUUUAUCUUGAUCUAUCUGAGAACAAUUUCAAUGGUUCCUCAAUUCCUGAUUAUUUCGGAAACAUGAGCUCUCUUGCAUAUCUUAGUCUCUAUUAUAACAAACUUGAAGGAGGGAUCCCGAAUUCCUUUGCCAAGUUAUGUAGGCUGCGAGAGUUGGACCUUGGGCUUAAUAGUCUUAGUGGACAACUUUCAGACUUCAUUGAAACAUUGUCCAAAUGCGCUCAAAAGACAUUGGAGAGUUUGUAUAUCUCGGAUAAUCCUAACAUUUCGGGUUCAUUGCCUGAUCUUACGAACUUCUUAUCAUUGAAACACUUGUUUCUCGAGAGCAAUAACUUAAGUGGAAGAAUACCUGAAAGUAUUGGACAGAUGUCCAAGCUGGAGACUAUUGGUUUUGGUUGGAAUUCUUUGGAAGGAGUGAUUUCAGAAACUCAUUUUUCAAAACUCUCCAAAUUAAGUUCUUUGAGUUUAUCAUCUGACUCACUACUUUUGAACUUCAGUUUUGAUUGGAUUCCUCCCUUCCAAUUGCAAGACAUAUUCUUGAAGUCCUGUAAGAUGCGGCCGUCGUCUUUCCCAAAAUGGCUUCAAACUCAAAAAAAUUAUACAUGGCUUGAUAUUUCUGAUGCUGGAAUUUCUGAUACCAUUCCAAGUUGGUUUUGGGAUUUGUCACAAAAAUUAGAGGGUAUGGAUAUCUCUCACAAUCAAAUGAGAGGAACAGUUGGAAAUAUUAGAUUGGAGUUUGCACCGCGCCUAAAUUUGAGUUGGAAUCAAUUGAAUGGUCCAAUCCCUUCAAUUCUAUCAAAAGCUUCAGUUCUAGAUCUCUCCCAUAAUAACUUUUCUGGGGCAGCUUCUUUUUUGUGUGCAACCGAGGAUAGUAAUUUAACCUUUCUUGAUCUCUCAAGCAAUCAUGUAUCUGGAGAACUUCCUGAUUGUUGGAUCCAUUUUAAAAAAUUAGUCUUCCUUGAUUUCAGCAAUAACUAUUUAUUUGGAAAAAUUCCCACCACGAUGGGGCACUUGUUUAGUAUCGACACACUAAGACUAAGUAACAACAGAUUUGUGGGAGACUUGCCUUCACAAUUGAAGAAUUGUACAAAGUUGACACUUUUUGAUCUUGGGGAAAAUAACUUAUCAUGCUCAAUACCUGAAUGGUUAGGGGCUAGUCUUCCGAAUUUGACUAUCUUAAUCCUUCGAGGUAAUCAGUUCUAUAAAAGCAUCCCGCCCCAAUUAUGCCAUCUGACAAGUGUUCAAAUUUUGGAUUUGUCGAUGAACAACAUCUCUGGAACUAUACCCAAAUGUCUCAACAAUUUGAUUGUUUUGGCUCAUAAAGGAAAUUCAAGUCGAAUUAUCCAACAUUCAUAUAUGACUCAGCUGGGAGAAACAAGAUAUUUUUGGCAUUAUGAGGAGGAAGCAUCUUUAACAUGGAAAGGGGUAAGUUCUAAAUACAAAAGUACUCUGGGACUUGUAAAGAGUAUUGAUCUCUCAAGCAAUAAGUUGACCGGGGAGAUUCCUAGUGAAAUCACUGAUCUUGUUGGUUUGGUUUCUUUAAAUCUGUCAAGAAACCAAUUAACAGGUCAGAUACCUCCAAGGAUUGGAAUGCUGCAGGAGCUAGAUUUCCUUUGAUUUAUCAAGAAACCAGAUUAAUGGCAGAAUUCCAAACAGUCUAUCUCAGAUAGAUCGUAUUGGUUACUUGGACUUGUCAGAAAACAACUUGUCUGGAAAAAUUCCAACAGGCACCCAGCUCCAAAGCUUUGGUCCAUCUUCUUAUGGUGGAAAUCCUCUACUUUGUGGACUGCCACUCCUAAGGACAUGCAAUGAGGAGGAAAAAGUUCCAGGACAAACUAUGUUGGUGAAUCAAGAUGAUAAAGAUGGGCUCAUGUCGCAAGGAUUUUACAUCAGCUUGGGGCUUGGAUUUGUUGUUGGAUUUUGGGGAGUUUUUGGCACUCUUCUAUUCAACAGGUCAUGCAGAUAUACAUACUUCAAUUUCUGGACUUGUUUCACAGAUUGGUUGUACGUGAAGGCUGAAAUCAUCAGGCAAAGGAUGCCUAAUACUAGAUAAAUGGUAAUUACUACUAUCUCUCUCACAUACUAUUUUUAAAAUUCAAUGAUGCAAGUUAGUUGUUCUUUAUCCCGAAAUGCAUGUAGAUAUUAUAUGACAUAAUUAAUAUUUGUUUAAAAGGAAAUAUGAACUUUCUUUCUUUUGCUAUAUAAAAGGAACAUGCAUGCAUGAUUUUGUUCACUGGUUAUAAUUAUGUUUCCCUUCGUUUUUAGCGCAGGCACCUUUGAGAUGACAUUCUUUUCCUUCAGUUGAAGAUGGACGAGACGAAGGACUGCUUUUUGUACUAGCAUUCGAGUACUUGAGUGAUGAUGAUAAGGAAUCUCACUGAAAUAAGGGAACCAUUUAUUUUAUAGUAAAUGAGUUGCACCGUUAUUUGUAAGAACUUAAUGGGAACUUCACCCCUAAUGAAGUAUUUGGUAUGAUGUUCUUGUGUACCUCAUGGUUUUUUCUGAUUCGAGCAUGUUAUCUCAAUGUAGGGAAUGCAAACACUUAAUUGCCUUUUACUAUAUUGCUCGUGUGGAUUAAAAAAAAGAGGAAGAAUUUGAGUUAAGUGAAUCAAUCACAGAAAUGAAAGUGUUGUCAAUCUGGAAAAUGCACUUUAUUAACGUUAUUCUUUCCGUCUGUGUAAGAAAGAAAAUACUUACUUUGAAAGUCCAGUAUUUUUUAAAGUUUUUUUGUUUUGUUUUUUGUUUUUAAAGGUUCUCUUCUCUGUAUGAACACGAAAAAAGAAGUAAAACAUUUGUAAGCCCCCACCAUGGGGCUCGAACCCAUGACCACAAAGAGGCUUUACUGAUUUCUAUGCCUCAGUGACAAAGGGUCAAAACGAAAUUUUCUAAACUGUAGUGGAUAGGUUUGAAAUAAUUUUAAAAAGAAGGGUUAAAAGUGUAAAAACCGGGUAGAAUUCGGCAAGUAGAAGUCCAAAUUACAUUAAAUCACAAACCAAAGGCAAAAAGCACAAAAAAUUCAUGGUAAAGAAGUUGAAACACAUGAGCAAAAGGUAAAAAUUGAAGUACCAGACCGAGAUAGGCGAAGCCACGCCGAGAGUCGAGGCCGGAGCUUGCGGAUCAAGCGGUGGUCUAUUUUGGUUAAUUGGAGUGGGUGAUCCAAGAGGGAGUUGAAGUAGAAGAACAGAGGCGCUGUAAAUUUCCAUUUCCUGCUUUAUUUAUCUCUUUUAUAAAGAGAAAAAGAUGGAGAGAUGGAUUCUCUUUUACUUUCUUGAACCUUCAGGUCGUUAAUAAGAAUAGAAUAAUAGAAAAACAGAUUCUACAAUUAAAGGAAUAAUGAGAAUCAUAUUUUGUGGAACAUUAAUUAUUAUGUAUAAAUGAUAUUUUAUAAUACAUUAAUUAUUAUGUAUACAUGAUUAAUAUGAGUAUUUUGUUUUGUUUUAUUGUAUUAUGAUAUUAAAGUAUCGAGUAUGAAUUAAUUUUUUAUAUAAUUAUAUUAUAAUUUUAUUAUAAUUUAUUAUUAUUUUAAUUGACAUGUCCUAGCCUUGUCUAUGUCCGUGUCCUAAUUUUUUGACAUUUUCCGUGUUGCCAUGUUGCGUUUUCUUGUCCCCAUACCCGUGUCCGUGCAACAUAAAUUUAUAGACAUAUUUCAACUAAAGUUGCUAGGUUAUUUUUUAAAAAAAAAUAAAAAAUAAAAAACCGGUGUCAACCACGUUGCAAUACAAGAGUUGAGUUACAUCAAUACAAUCCAAACCUGAAACCCUUGAACACCCCGACUCGUAAACUUCCCAAGAACUCUUCUCUCUCCCAAAAGUUUUUUAUUUUAUUUUUCCUCUAGCUUUCCACUAGAACUCUAUCUCUCCCCAGAAGUUUUUUUUUUCUCUCUUGCUCUGCCGUUCUCUCAAUGCACCUGUGUUUCAACUGUUACCUGGUCUUUGUUCAAAUGAAUCACUUGCUGCCCAUUGAUAGGCAGUUGGUUCAAUGGGAAAAAGCAAUGCUUUUUCUUCCUUCAGAUUCCUAUUUUGGCAGCAGCAAAAUGAAAACAAAAUUGUCUUCAAUUUCUGCCAUCAUUUACUGCCACAUGACUUUCUCCACCAUUUACUACAUGGGUCCCAUUAAAAUUGC